AGUGAACGCUGGCGGUAGGCCUAACACAUGCAAGUCGAACGGCAGCACAGUAAGAGCUUGCUCUUACGGGUGGCGAGUGGCGGACGGGUGAGGAAUACAUCGGAAUCUACUUUUUCGUGGGGGCUAACGUCGGGAAACUUACGCUAAUACCGCAUACGACCUACGGGUGAAAGCAGGGGAUCUUCGGACCUUGCGCGAUUGAAUGAGCCGAUGUCGGAUUAGCUAGUUGGCGGGGUAAAGGCCCACCAAGGCGACGAUCCGUAGCUGGUCUGAGAGGAUGAUCAGCCACACUGGACCUGAGACACGGUCCAGACUCCUACGGGAGGCAGCAGUGGGGAAUAUUGGACAAUGGGCGCAAGCCUGAUCCAGCCAUACCGCGUGGGUGAAGAAGGCCUUCGGGUUGUAAAGCCCUUUUGUUGGGAAAGAAAAGCAGCAGGUUAAUACCCCGCUGUUCUGACGGUACCCAAAGAAUAAGCACCGGCUAACUUCGUG
This 492-nucleotide ribosomal RNA is filed under the name uncultured bacterium. RNAcentral's name for it is "partial 16S ribosomal RNA". It matches the Rfam family "Bacterial small subunit ribosomal RNA", at positions 29 to 507 of the family's 1533-position model. The record is from RNAcentral.